This is a non-coding RNA of Peromyscus maniculatus bairdii (prairie deer mouse), 737 nucleotides long. NCBI's taxonomy places the organism in Eukaryota, Metazoa, Chordata, Mammalia, Rodentia, Cricetidae. The record is from RefSeq and is a predicted model, not a curated record.
AAUAUGCUUACAGUAAAAUGUAAAAUUUAUAUUUUAUGCUUCUGGGUGUCAAAUAUAGUGAAUAUUUAUCUAAAUAGAGACGAGGAACUAGAAAGGCAAUUUGAGAGUAGAGACAUAAGGAGUGACUUUUAACUAAAAUUUCCCUUUCAAUUCCUUACUUCCCAAAUUAGUAUAUUACCAAAGAAGAUGAGAACUAGACCGUAUCUUCUUGGCGAAAGGAAAUAAGUUUAUUGAUACAGUUUACACUGGGCAUGCUUUAAAACACAUCUGUUCCUUCAACACGUAAACCUUCCAUGAUGUGCAAAAGUCAUAUCCCCCAUGGCUUUGCAUGUGGCUUUCUCUCAAUCUCUUUGUUGUGGAUCCAGUCAUCCUAUGUAUGUGUGCUGCUCAGCUCUCCAUAAAGAAAAAAUCCUCAGGGAACUCUCUCAAUAGCUGAUGACUUACUGUCGACGAAAGCCCUGCUUCAACCCUUACCUUGCCAAUAACUGAUGAACAAGUAGCUGAAGAACCUCCAUUUCAUCUUGACCUGAGUCAUUCCUCUAUGAUGACCUACAUGAUCCUCUAGCCUAGAAUUAAACCACGUAAUAGUGGCUGAUCUUCCGCCUCCUGUGGUACUGAGUUCGCCCUGAUGGCAAAACUGGAUCUUACUGGUUUUUUUUUUUUGUUUGUUUUGUUUUUAACCCCUAUGCAUCAUGCAGCAUCUGAGAUGUAGAUGGCCCAAUAAAUAGAAAAAUAAU